CAAUAGCGUAUAUUUAAGUUGUUGCAGUUAAAAAGCUCGUAGUUGGAUUUCUGCUGAUCGCUGUCGGUCUGCCGUCAGGUGUGUACUGGCAGUGUUUGGCAUCUAUUCGAGAUUGGGUGUCCACUUGAUUGUGUGCACUCGAUGUCGGAGCUAAUACUUUGAGAAAAUUAGAGUGUUCCACGCAGGCGCGUGCCUUGAAUACUGCAGCAUGGGGUAUUGGAAGGCCGAUUGAGCUUUCUUGUUGGUUCUCGGUUUGAUCGGAAUGAUUAAUAGGGAUAGUUGGGGGCAUUCGUAUUCAACUGUCAGAGGUGAAAUUCUUGGAUUUGUUGAAGACGGACUACUGCGAAAGCAUCUGCCAUGGAUGUUCUCAUUGA
Molecule: ribosomal RNA, 374 nt
Filed under: uncultured eukaryote
Lineage: Eukaryota
Description: partial 18S ribosomal RNA
Rfam family: Eukaryotic small subunit ribosomal RNA
Source: RNAcentral